This 331-nucleotide ribosomal RNA is filed under the name Chihuahuanus cazieri. RNAcentral describes it as "partial 12S ribosomal RNA". Lineage: Eukaryota; Metazoa; Arthropoda; Arachnida; Scorpiones; Vaejovidae. The record is from RNAcentral.
UAAAAUUUAUAAAAUUAGGUAGUAAAGAAAUUUCUGAAACCUAAAGAAUUUGGCGGUAUUUUAAAUAAUUGGAGGAACCUGUUAUUUAAUUGACAACCCGCAACAAAUCUUACCUAAAUUUUAUUUGUAUAUCGUCGUUUUUGAUAAUAUUUCAAAAUUAUAAUCAAUAAAAAUAAAUUUUUUAAAAUCAGAUCAAGGUGCAGUAUAUUUAGGUCAUAAUGGGUUACAAUAUAAUUAUAUAUAAUGGAUAUAAAAUUGAAAUUAUAUUGAAAGUGGAUUCAAAAGUAAUAUUAAAUUAAAAUGUUAAUUUGAUUAAAAAUUUAAAAUAUGC